Long non-coding RNA from Rhagoletis pomonella (apple maggot), 353 nucleotides. RefSeq lists it as uncharacterized. The transcript has 2 exons. The record is from RefSeq and is a predicted model, not a curated record. NCBI's taxonomy places the organism in Eukaryota, Metazoa, Arthropoda, Insecta, Diptera, Tephritidae.
AAUUCGCUCGCUGUUCGUUGGAAUAAUUUCAAUUUUUAAAUUUAUUAUGCCGGAAGAUUUACAAUUGUUACGCGCUACUCCCAUAAGAAACAGGGUAAACAUACCGCCUAUUUGACCAAGUUGCGGAUACAUAUAUGUGUGUAUAAUACGAUGGACAAUCCAUGGUGCCGCAGCUUAAUUUGCGUUAAACACACAUAUAUAUAUUAGCACAGAUUUUUGUAAGUACUCUAUGGCUGAUAAAUAUUAGUGCUAUGAUUAUGUGACUAAUUUUUUACCUGUUUUAGUAUAAUUCUGAUGAGGGUGCAAUAUUAGCACCGAAAGCUAAAGAAAUAAAAUGACAUAAUACUUAUCAA